GAGUCCAUAGAUUGUCUGAGAGGCCAGGAGCCAAAGAAAGUAUGUUCCCUGAGGGCUCAUGGAUCUUCUUGAGGAUCUGGAGUUUGGAGACAUGUCUCAAGUGCUGUUGCCAAGCUUCGUCCUAACUGACCAUAACAACGUUGCUGCUGUCUGAUACCAAUGACUGUGGCUGCUCUCCUGGAGAACCUGAUGGCUAACAGACAAUGAGAUCCUUGUCCCAGAUUUCAAACAAUAGAUGGUUGGAUACUCAGAGGCAGUUAUGAGCUGGCACACCUGGGCUAGACAGCGGCUCUGAGAAGCAAAGGAAAAUGAGGACAUCACCUUACCUGGCCUCAACAGGGUUAACAGAUACAACUGAGCUCCAGGACUUCCUGACAGCUGCAGUCAUCUCACGUCAUCUCAGAGAAUUAACAACUGUCUCAGCACAUCAUCUCAGAACUAACAGCUGUCUCGGCUUCCCCGCAAGCAUUGGAAGGACUCACUAAACAAUUAGCAGGGAUAGACACACAUGCUUGGAUACUUCAACAGGUCCUUUUCUGGCCCUCUGUACUUGAUCCUCAGAAGACAUACCUGAUGACUCACAGACGGUUCCAGCACAUGUGGCUUUGAGAGUGCUGUACAGCUCAUCAUAUGCUGAUGAUCAGAGAUGUGAUAAGGACUUGAGGGAAUGAUGCUAGACACUACAGAAAACAUUACAGCAGACAACUUCCUCAAAUCAGCACCACAUAUAUUGUUCUUCACAGUUAACUUUAUAAAAUGACAGUAAAAUAUGUGAGGUUACCAAAAUUUCUUUUUCAAACUUGUAGACUUCCUACCUCUAAGGAGUUUGGAAACUGUCACCAUUUUCAUAAAGUUUAUUCAGUUGCAUUUUUGAA
Non-coding RNA from Cricetulus griseus (Chinese hamster), 875 nucleotides. NCBI's taxonomy places the organism in Eukaryota, Metazoa, Chordata, Mammalia, Rodentia, Cricetidae. The record is from RefSeq and is a predicted model, not a curated record.